CUACCUGCAGUCGACGCUUGAUUGCACCUUGCUCCUGGACUCGCGGCGGACGGGUGAGUAAUGACUAGGAAUCUGCCUGGUAGUGGGGGACCCGUCCGGAAACGGGCGCUUAUACCGCGGUGUCCUGACGGAUAACGUGUUGGACCUUCUGACCUCACACUAUCAGAUGAUCCUAGGUGUGAUUGAUUAGUUGGCGCGGUAAAGGUCUACCAAGGCGACGAUCCGUAACUGGUCUGAGACGAUGAUCAUACACACUGGAACUGAGAGCGGUCCACACUCCUACGGGAGGCCGCAGUGGACAAUAUUGGAAAUGGGCGAAAGCCUGAUCCAGCCAUGCCGCGUGUGUGAACAAAGUCUUCCCAUUGGAAGCACUUUAAGUUGGGAUGAAGGGCCUCUGUUUAAUACCUUGCUGUUUUGACGUUACCACUGAAAUACCCACCGGCUAACUUCGUGCCAACACCCCCGGUAAUACCAAGGGUGCAACCGUUAAUCUAAAUUACUGGGCGUAAAUCGCCCGAAUGUGGGUCCGCAAGUUGAAUGUGAGAUCCCCGGUCUCUCCCUGGGAACUGCCUCCGGAUCUACUGAGCUAGAGUACUGUAGACGGUGAUGCAAUUUCCUGUGUAACGAUGAUGUGCUUACAUGUAUGAAGGAGCACCGCUGACAAAUGCGACCGCCUGGACUGAUACAGACACUGACGCGCGACAGCGAGUGGAGCAGACGCGAUUAAGAUACGCUG
Molecule: ribosomal RNA, 736 nt
Filed under: Pseudomonas aeruginosa
Lineage: Bacteria; Pseudomonadati; Pseudomonadota; Gammaproteobacteria; Pseudomonadales; Pseudomonadaceae
Description: bacterial SSU rRNA
Rfam family: Bacterial small subunit ribosomal RNA
Source: RNAcentral